GUCUAGUGGCCUAGGACUCCGCCCUUUCACGGCGGCAACAGGGGUUCGAACCCCCU
This 56-nucleotide transfer RNA is filed under the name Pseudopedinella elastica. It matches the Rfam family "tRNA", at positions 10 to 63 of the family's 71-position model. From Rfam's summary of the family: Transfer RNA (tRNA) molecules are approximately 80 nucleotides in length. Their secondary structure includes four short double-helical elements and three loops (D, anti-codon, and T loops). Further hydrogen bonds mediate the characteristic L-shaped molecular structure. tRNAs have two regions of fundamental functional importance: the anti-codon, which is responsible for specific mRNA codon recognition, and the 3' end, to which the tRNAs corresponding amino acid is attached (by aminoacyl-tRNA synthetases). tRNAs cope with the degeneracy of the genetic code in two manners: having more than one tRNA (with a specific anti-codon) for a particular amino acid; and 'wobble' base-pairing, i.e. permitting non-standard base-pairing at the 3rd anti-codon position. The record is from RNAcentral. RNAcentral also lists the same sequence under 3 other names. Lineage: Eukaryota; Dictyochophyceae; Pedinellales.